UAGCUAGUUGGUGGGGUAAGGGCCUACCAAGGCGACGAUCGGUAGCUGGUCUGAGAGGAUGACCAGCCACACUGGAACUGAGACACGGUCCAGACUCCUACGGGAGGCAGCAGUGGGGAAUAUUGGACAAUGGGGGCAACCCUGAUCCAGCAAUGCCGCGUGUGUGAAGAAGGCCUGAGGGUUGUAAAGCACUUUCAGUGGGGAGGAGGGUUGAUAGGUUAAGAGCUAAUUAACUGGACGUUACCCACAGAAGAAGCACCGGCUAACUCCGUGCCAGCAGCCGCGGUAAUACGGAGGGUGCGAGCGUUAAUCGGAAUUACUGGGCGUAAAGGGUGCGCAGGUGGUUGAUUAAGUUAUCUGUGAAAUUCCUGGGCUUAACCUGGGACGGUCAGAUAAUACUGGUUGACUCGAGUAUGGGAGAGGGUAGUGGAAUUUCCGGUGUAGCGGUGAAAUGCGUAGAGAUCGGAAGGAACACCAGUGGCGAAGGCGGCUACCUGGCCUAAUACUGACACUGAGGCACGAAAGCGUGGGGAGCAAACAGGAUUAGAUACCCUGGUAGUCCACGCUGUAAACGAUGUCAACUAGCUGUUGGUUAUAUGAAAAUAAUUAGUGGCGC
This 616-nucleotide ribosomal RNA is filed under the name uncultured Legionella sp. RNAcentral's name for it is "bacterial SSU rRNA". It matches the Rfam family "Bacterial small subunit ribosomal RNA", at positions 242 to 849 of the family's 1533-position model. The record is from RNAcentral. Lineage: Bacteria; Pseudomonadati; Pseudomonadota; Gammaproteobacteria; Legionellales; Legionellaceae.